CCGGGCGGCACGGGUGAGUAACGCGUAUGCAACUUGCCUAUCAGAGGGGGAUAACCCGGCGAAAGUCGGACUAAUACCGCAUGAAGCAGGGGCCCCGCAUGGGGAUAUUUGCUAAAGAUUCAUCGCUGAUAGAUAGGCGUGCGUUCCAUUAGGCAGUUGGCGGGGUAACGGCCCACCAAACCGACGAUGGAUAGGGGUUCUGAGAGGAAGGUCCCCCACAUUGGUACUGAGACACGGACCAA
This 242-nucleotide ribosomal RNA is filed under the name uncultured bacterium. Its description in RNAcentral is "partial 16S ribosomal RNA". It matches the Rfam family "Bacterial small subunit ribosomal RNA", at positions 100 to 334 of the family's 1533-position model. The record is from RNAcentral.